AAGUCGUAACAAGGUUUCCGUAGGUGAACCUGCGGAAGGAUCAUUAGAGAAUACUAUUCGAUGGCGAGGUCCUCUUCGGAGACCGAGUCGUCUUAUAUAUCCAAACACCUGUGCACCGUAGAGCCCCUCUCGCGAGGGGUUCGCCCUUUUUAUAUACAAACAUCAGUAGUCUUAAACGUAACGUCUUAUUAUAACAUGAUAAAACUUUCAACAACGGAUCUCUUGGCUCUC
Molecule: unclassified non-coding RNA, 231 nt
Filed under: fungal sp.
Lineage: Eukaryota; Fungi
Description: partial internal transcribed spacer region
Rfam family: Eukaryotic small subunit ribosomal RNA (bases 1-46)
Source: RNAcentral